RNAcentral lists this ribosomal RNA (253 nucleotides) under uncultured bacterium. RNAcentral describes it as "partial 16S ribosomal RNA". It matches the Rfam family "Bacterial small subunit ribosomal RNA", at positions 524 to 776 of the family's 1533-position model. The record is from RNAcentral.
UACGGAGGGUGCGAGCGUUAAUCGGAAUUACUGGGCGUAAAGCGCGCGUAGGCGGUUUGGUAAGCUGGAUGUGAAAGCCCUGGGCUCAACCUGGGAACUGCAUCCAGAACUGCCAGGCUAGAGUAUGGUAGAGGACAGUGGAAUUUCCGGUGUAGCGGUGAAAUGCGUAGAGAUCGGAAGGAACACCAGUGGCGAAGGCGACUGUCUGGACCAAUACUGACGCUGAGGUGCGAAAGCGUGGGGAGCAAACAGG